Long non-coding RNA from Manihot esculenta (cassava), 1355 nucleotides. RefSeq lists it as uncharacterized. Lineage: Eukaryota; Viridiplantae; Streptophyta; Magnoliopsida; Malpighiales; Euphorbiaceae. The record is from RefSeq and is a predicted model, not a curated record. The transcript is spliced from 2 exons.
UGUGAUUAAAAUUCUAACCCCAUUUACCUUAUGGUAGCUAUCAUCAAAAUUGUGGACAAUAGCUAACAAAGUGGAAACAUAUACAAACAAAUGGAAGUACUCCGAUUUGUGAUUCCAUAUGCGCCCUAAUAGCCAGGAUGGUGAAACAUUAUCUCAACUAAUCAGGAUACAUGGUCCUAAUCUAAUCACAUAAAACAAUAUGGUUUAGAAAUGCUAAGCAGUUCCCAUCGUUUUUUUUUUUUUGUUAGAGCCCUAUCACAUCUAUUUUCUAUCAAUGGAAUAGUAGUGAAAAGACACUUGUAAUGUGGGAGGAGCUGUAAAGGCACAAAGGUUUGAGAUAAACUGCCAACAACUUUUAAAUCAUAUAGAAGUAAUUGCGCUUCAUUUCGUGUGGCCUUCUUGUUCUGCCAUGCCUUGUGCUGGUUUAAAUGCCUUACUUCUAUGUAAUUGCUGUGAUUAUAAUGUUGUCUACCUUUUAGCAUUAUGAACAAAGGGACUGUGAUGAAACUUUAGUAAUGUGUCAUAUGAUUGUAGAGUAAAUGGUGGAAAGCAGAAAUGCAUUUGUUUUCAACCCCCUCUUUGUCGUCUCCGCUAGCCCUUUAUUUUCUUCUUGUCUGCUGUCUGUAAUAAAAUGAGCAAUUCCAACUUCAUAUUUACUUUUAUUGUUAUCUUUUUAAAUUAAGUGCUAGCCUUUAAUAUUUGGAUAAUGACUAUGUGGAGUUUGAGGUGUCUUACCAUAUUGCAUUUUGAUUCUUGUUUUACGAUACUACUUUUAUUAUUAAUAGUAGUAGUAUUAUUAAUUUUUCAUUAUCUUCUUUUAUAUUCAAAUAUAUUUUAAUAUUUUGGUAGAACCUUAUGCCAUUUGCAAUCAUGGGUGGCAUGUAACAAGUUUCAGGACUUCUCAACUGAUGUGAUAUGGUGAUUUGCAUCUGGAGAAUGUAUACUAUUCAGAAAUGAAAGAUGCUGGUUUCUUUGAUGCUGAUUAGGAGUGAUGCAGUGAUAUUCUGGCCGGAUGACUCUGUAUAUUAAAGUAACUUCCAGAUGGCAAAAAUUUAUGUACUUGAAGAGAUGCUUGUUCGUUGCUUGCUGGACUCGUUCUUUUACAAUAGAUGUAGUGUGCCUCUGGCACUUGGAACGCUUUGUUGUGUACCAAUUAGGAACUGGUUAGACCGCAUUAAAAAAUAUAACUCUGUAUAAUACAGAAUAAGGGAAGCAUAAAGGUAUAUUUUAUGAUAUGAAUUUGAUAUUAUUUGGAUCCAUUAUGUAUUUUGAGAUAUUUUAAGUUUCUUAGUGUUGAACUAUAAUAAUGUUUUGAACUAUUAGAUUGCAGAAUUAUGAAAUGAAGUUGAUGUGUA